GACGAACGCUGGCGGCGUGCCUAAUACAUGCGAGUCGAACGCUGAAGGAGGAGCUUGCUUCUCUGGAUGAGUUGCGAACGGGUGAGUAACGCGUAGGUAACCUGCCUGGUAGCGGGGGAUAACUAUUGGAAACGAUAGCUAAUACCGCAUAAGAGUAGAUGUCGCAUGACAUUUGCUUAAAAGGUGCAAUUGCAUCACUACCAGAUGGACCUGCGUUGUAUUAGCUAGUUGGUGAGGUAACGGCUCACCAAGGCAACGAUACAUAGCCGACCUGAGAGGGUGAUCGGCCACACUGGGACUGAGACACGGCCCAGACUCCUACGGGAGGCAGCAGUAGGGAAUCUUCGGCAAUGGACGGAAGUCUGACCGAGCAACGCCGCGUGAGUGAAGAAGGGUUUCGGAUCGUAAAGCUCUGUUGUAAGAGAAGAACGAGUGUGAGAGUGGAAAGUUCACACUGUGACGGUAGCUUACCAGAAAGGGACGGCUAACUACGUG
This 495-nucleotide ribosomal RNA is filed under the name uncultured bacterium. RNAcentral's name for it is "partial 16S ribosomal RNA". It matches the Rfam family "Bacterial small subunit ribosomal RNA", at positions 28 to 507 of the family's 1533-position model. The record is from RNAcentral.